Molecule: long non-coding RNA, 7421 nt
Organism: Homo sapiens (human)
Lineage: Eukaryota; Metazoa; Chordata; Mammalia; Primates; Hominidae
Exons: 3
Source: RefSeq, a predicted model, not a curated record
UAAUAUAAAAUGAAACAUUUUGGUUUAUUCCAGAAAUUCAUGAUUUAGUUUCACAUUUAAAAAUCCAUUAAUACAACUUACAAUAUUAACACAUUUAGGAAGAAAAAUGAUCUUAAUAUACAUAGAUAAUUUUCUUAACAUUUACCAUCCACUUAUGAUAAAAAUGAUUAGUAAAAUGGAAAGAGAAGAAAACUGCCUUAAUAUAUUAGAAUAUUUCAUUAAGUAGAGAAAAGUUAAAUAAUUUCCUCUGAACUCAGAAAAAGACAAGGAUGCUCACCAGGACACUGCUAUGCAACAUUUUACUAAAUAUUUAAGCCCAAGAUAUAAGACAAGAAAAAUUAUUGAUAGACUGGGAAGUCAAAAACAAUAUUGUCAGUAUUUGCUGAUGCUGUGAUUUUCUAUAAAGAAAACACAAAUUUCUAUACCUUUAUAUAGAAAUCAUUAGCAUUAUUAUAAGCGUGUAGCAAGACUGAUGAAUUUGAAAUCAUUAUGUAAGGGUCAACUGUACUUUUCUACCACAUAGAUAAACUACCCAAAAGAUGGAAGGUAAAAUACCUAAAAAUAAGUCUGAUACUAAAUAAAUGCAUCUUAUUCAUGAAAAAAAUUAUUAAGAUAUUAAAAAUAUUGAAAAGGAGUUAAAUUCACUGAGAGCUCAUUCUAAUGCAUAAAAAUACAGCAAUGUAAAGACAACAGUUGUGCACAAGGAUAGAAAUAGGUGAGUGGAACAGAAAAUAAGAACCCAGAAACAGAUCAAUGGUCAAAAAAUUUCAAUACAUGAAGCCAGAAAAGAUGUAUGAUUGUAUGGAAAAAUAAAAGAAGAUUUCUAUUUCAGACUCUACACACAAAUACAUCUCAUAUAGCUUAAGGUUUAUAUGUGAAAGUAAUAAAAAACUCUUUCAUAUCUGUAUGUUUGGUACCCAGAAUACUCACUACUGUUGAGGUCGUGGUGCAACACUGCCUGUGCAGGAAUGGAGACAGGUUCAGGAAUGUCCACAGCAGAACCGGUUGCUGCAGGAGACUGAAAACCACCCAAAUGUCAAUUGAAGGAACACAGACAAUGUUUAGUAAAGAAAAAAAAAAUACCGUGGCUGCAAUCACUAUGUAAAGCAGGAAAGAUCAAUGAAUUAUAGGUGCCUGACAUCAACAUGGAAAGAAAGGUGGAGUGGAGAAAGAAAACACAUUGUGAAGAACAAAUACUACAUAAUUGCGGUUAUAUAAGUUUCAAAAGAAAUUCAGAGCUCCUGGAGCCACAUGAGGAGGCCCACAGGUUCAUGCAGACUUUCUCGGUCUACUCCUGAGCCUCACAGCAUACCUGAGGCCCCGCAAAUGUGCAGCCAUAAAGCAGUUGUAAAAUGAAGAGGAGAUGGUCUGGGUGCUUUGACAUAGUGGGUGGAUGUCUGAAGGUGAAGGUGGGACCGAUUUUAAAGGAGGUGUCUAUAGGAGCUUCCAGGUCCCCUAAAUCCCACUGGCUCUGCCAGUGUUUGGCCUUCAGGUCUGUGAACUUGUCUCCCGAGGACCCCAGGGUUAACUAGACUCAGGGAUGCUGAUCAAGACAAACCAAUCCCCCAGACACCAAUGGUCAUAACCAGAAUCAUGAUUUAUUAAUUUGCAGGGGGAGCUGCAUCUGUUGGAAAGACCAGAUACAGACACUCCUGUAAGACUAUCACAAUCCCUACCUGUAGAAAAGCCCCAUGGGAGCCAAAUCAUAAUCAGAGGGCUGCUUGUGGAGAAUGCAACCCAAGCAGAGAGAUGUAGUAAAGGAAAAAACUGUCCUUGGCAUCAGGCUGAAACCACUGGGGGCUUCUACCUUGCAACUGGCCUCUAUCUAGGCAGGGGCACAGUCCUCCUCUGGCAGAGUUUGGAUGGGCACCAGCAAUUCAGACAUGUAAAAUCAUGACCAUAGAAAGCCACCCAGGCUUGGGAUUAAGUCCCUCUACCCAUGUGGUCUUCAUACACUUAACUUCAUCUGUGAGGCUCAGCUCCUCACCUGUGAAAUGAGAAUAGUGGUAAUACCCACCUCUAGAGUGUGCGAAGAUUAGACAUGGUCUGGAGAAAGCAACUGGCUCAGAGCCUGGCACAUGGCAGGUGCUCUACAAAUGGAAUGUUCUCACAUUCACCCCAGGAGUCUCCCCUCACAGAUUCCCCUUAUCCAGGCUUGUGCUAUAAAUAGGCUUCCAUCAAGUUUAGAUGGCUUGGGAGCUCUGUAGUCCCUUUAACCUGGCUUAGCCUACUGUUAUACAGGAAUGGUUUCCAGGGGAAGGGUUUUCCUAGCCUCUGGGUCUCACUUCUCCCCCCCUUUUUUUGAUAAAAAUGUUCUAAAUUUUAUUGAGAUAAUGGUGAUACAACUCUGUGAGUACACUAACAAAAUUGAAUUAUCCACUUUACAUGGGUAAGUUGUAUGGCAUGUUAAUUAUAUCUGAAUGAAGCUAUUAAAAAUAAAAUGAAAACUUAACAAAGAAAGGGGGGGAAGAGUGAACACUGAUUCCCAUGAAUAUUUAGUUCUAAUAGUGAAAAUUAUACAGAAACUUACAUUUUAAAAUAAUAAACUGUAAAAAAUAGCAAAACAGCAACAAUUUGAUUAUGCUAUUCCUUCUCUUACAAUGUUGCUUUGAACAUAUCCACUAUUUUGAUAUUCUAUUUUGAAUGACCUCCAGGUUAUCACACUGAAGAGAUGGUGUCCCAAAGUGAAUUUAUGGCCCAAGAUGGAGUGUUUCUCUCUCUUCCCUUGUCCUAGACAGUCUUCUUUUACAGAUGCAGUCAAAUAGCUCGGUAAAUCCUGCUUUCCUCUCUAAAUGCUCACAGAACACUCUUACAUUGGUGAGUUCUAAAUUGCGGACCGGAAUGGGUAUCAAACAAUAUCCAAAUCACUUCUCCCUUUUAUUCCCCUGCUCCUUGGAGGAUGGUGUGGAGCUGCUCUUCAUGGAUGUCUUUGGUUUGGGGAGGCUAAGAUCCAUGCUUCCAUGAGGGAUGGUAGUUAAAUGCCUAAACCUGGCAUCACACUUCCUAGCAGGACCCUUGGGCUCUCACACUGCCUAUGUCUGUCAACAUAGACACCACAGUGAUCCAGGGCUUAUCUUGGCUUCAACCUGCCAUUCUUUUAUUUUAGUUCUCAACUUGUUCUGAACCCUGGUGAAGAAAAAUUUCCCUAUCUACAUGGAGAUCCUUCAGAAACUCAACACCGACCUAAAGUCUCUAUUAUUCUGCACUGUUCUAAGUGUUGAAUUUGUAGAGUGUAAAUACAUUUGCUUGUUUUAAAUUUCUAGAGAAAACACUCUAGUAUUACCACUAGCCGCCCCCACUCCCUGCAUUGUCAGAGCAAGUUCAAAGUAUGCACCAAGGGUGAUGGGGACCAUGGCACCUGCAGCUCUAGAGGAGGCCACCAUCCAUGCCUUUGCCACAUAGCCUCCGAGACCACAGCCUUCAGGGUUAACCCCUGAAGACACUAACAGGGCCCUAAGAAAGCACUGGCAUUGCCUUGUGGCAAUAACUAGGAGGAAACCUGGGAAGUAACCACAGGUCCUGUGCAUGUGACUGUCAGCUCUAUAGCUUGCCAGCUAAACAGCCUGGAUAAAUCAUCAGUAUUAUAUGUUUUAGUUUUCUAAUCCACGUUAUUUGUAGAAAUCACCUGUUAUUCUUGGUGAAUAUUAAAUUAAAUAAUUCAUAUAGAGUGUUUACCACAGUGCCUUACACAUUGCUGGUGCUUUAGUACAUAGUAGUUUACUGUUAUUAUUUCUCAUUCUCCCACACUGACCCUGAAGCCUUUAAAGACCAUUGUUCGACUUUGUGUACCUGUGACCUUGGAUUCUCCAGGCCUCACCUGUCUUUCAUGCCCUCAGUUAUCUGCUGGAUCCUGGAAUCAGAAGAAUGGCCAUAUCCAGGGCAUAAAAUCCCACUUUCUCAGUAGCUGCCCAAGGACUCAGGUGGCCCAGCCCAGAGGUUCAGGGGAGCUGACAUCCUGCAAGACAAACUGUGACUCAUGGGGCCCAAGAGCCUGGGGAGAGCCAGGAAGCACACCUUUCUCUAUUCUUCCUGUUGAAUGCCUCCCAGGUGUGGUGUUACUGUACCUUUUACCCAGAGAUGUCCCAUGGGAUGCCCAGAACCAUGGUGAGUCUCUGGGAAGCAGUGGUCAGCUGGGUAAUGCCCACUUUGUAUUUGCCCUUCUUCUCUUGUCAAUGCCCUGUUCCUUCAUCCUGGCUUCUCUGGGAUUGAAAUAAUAUGCAAACAUUGCCUCAGACUCUAUUUUCUAGAGUCUAGCCUAAGCCAGGCCCUACUCCCUUUUGUAUCUCUGGUUCCUAGAACAACACUUUACGGAGAGUUAGUGCUCAGUGCCUGUUUAUUGACUUGAAGAAUAAAAGAAUAACUGAUCAUCUGAAUGCCAAAAUGAAUUAAUGAAUGAGUCUUGUGUUCACGCCAGUAUUUCCACUGGACAAAAUUCUGAAUUUCUGAAGAGCCUCAGUCUCUCUGAUUGUAACACACUAAAGGAAAGCAACACAGGGAAAGAAGAGAGGAAGAGAAAAGGUGGCAGGAAGAGAAAGAAUCCAAAAGAAAAACUGCCUCGCAAUCCCAAUCUGUUCCAAUUGCCUUAUUUGCCGAGUUUUCACUUUGGGCCAAAACAGUACUAGUUUAGCAAAAGGGAGACCAAGGCUGGAAUCACUUUUGAGAACUGAGGGCACAUGGAAGAUCUCUGAUACAAUGAAUGGUGGAUUAUUUUUAAUCUGGAAAAAUGUCAAAAGCAUGAGCAGCUCAAUGCCAACCAUCCAACUUCAUGCAAACCUUUAAUUAGUUAUAAUACUUGGAAGCCUUUCCUGGGAUGCUGUUUCAUUGCCAGUGAACUCACCAUGCUCAGUGCCUGGCAACCAUCUGGUGCUGAAGUCACUGGGUUGGGAGCUGUAAGCCAGGCCUAGAGUCCCUGCCUUGCCUCCCAUUCCUUGUGUGACCCUGGUGUGUCUCUUCCCUUCAAGACCUCUGCUGCCCAUUGUGCAAAGUGAGGACAAGAAGUUCUAACCUUCCCUCAGUCUAUGGCUGACAGUGAAGCAUCUAAAUCACCCACAUGUUGGUCUGUAGAACGCCUUCAUUAUUUUGAGAGACUGUAAUAUGAUGGAAUUUCGGUUUACUUAACAUAGUCUUGAGAGGGCUUUCUGAGCAGCCCUGCUGUGCCUGCAGACCAAGGGAAGAGAUAAAAGGAGUCCAAUACAAAGGCCGGGUGGUCAACAGGGCUUGAGACUCCAGAGUGUGUGAGAGACAAGAGACAUUUGGGCCUCCAGACCACACUCUAGUUGCCCUGGAAUAAAUGGAACGGUCCUAGCUGCCAUCCAAGGCAGCCAGCAUGUGUAUCUUGUUCAAUGUCAGGCUCAUCGAAGCUGGCCUUGGAGUGAGCAUUUCUCCAUUUUCUCUAUGAAACCAGAGUUGGUUGAAGCAUUCAGGGCAUGGGCCCCUGCAUUGUGCACAUGAGACUUCCCUGUUGUUCCUAGAAUCUGCUGCAACCUUUGAGAUGAUAACAUCCAAAAUGUUUUUGCCCCUUACACUGCCUUUUUUGAAAUUUCAAUGAUUUUUUUUUUUAGCUGAAAGACAGAAUGACCCAUUGCUGAUGUGGAGGUUUUGGUGUGUUCUCAUUAGGGAAGUGGUACAACCUCUGAAGACUCACAUCAUUUCAGAGUCUGAGCCUUGAGUGGUCUUCCCUGCUCAGUGGAGAAGAUAUUGCUGGAAGCUGACAUACUUCUUUAUCUCCAGCACAUUUCACUCCUGCAAAUUGGCUUCCUUAUGUUGUCAUCAGAAAUGACCAUUCUCAUUUUUUUUCGGGGCAUUCUCUUCACCUGGAAUGUCUUCCCUGAUGGACCAAGAGAUUUAUCCAAAAUCACCAAAAACUGUCAUCAGAAUCAGCAUGGCUUUCAGUCAAAGACCUAUCUGGCAGGGCACCCUGCCUCUCCUCCAGGCUCCCACUCCUCCCGUCAGAUGACACCUACCAACAACUGAUCACUCCACCACCUUGGCCUUGAGAUUCGUGGGACUCAGGCCCUGCCCUUAGAGGUUGCUAUGCUGACUCUGUACUCUGUGUUUCUCAGAGGUUAUUUGGUGACUGAUAGCAUCAACUUCAUGUCCACAGGCUUGUUGAGUUCACACCUAGGGUGCCUGGCUCUCAUUGUGUUUGCUGUAAUAAAUAAUCACUGGGUUCUUACUGUAUCCAGCUCUGUUUUGGGAAAUGAGGAAACAGAUCAUGCUAAGACUGGACCAUAUCUUCAAGGAGUUCAGAGUCUACGACACCUCUAUAUGCAGUGGGGCAUGCAUAGGAGAAAAAGAAAUAUUCUGUAAGGACAAAGAAAACAAUUUCAUGACGGCACUGAAGAUUUUGAUCUCUCAAAUAAAAACACUCCAUUAAAGCAAGGUAUAAUUAUUUGGAGUCUAAAAUAAUUUCAUAUCAUAGAGAAAUAUUAUGCAGCAAAGAUGGGCAACUGGCAGAGGAAUGCAUACAGAUGUGUACCAAGAAACACCAUAUAUCUCUACUGCAUGUGGUGCAACAUUUUAAUCAAGUCAAAGACUCUCAUGCUUGGGUUAGAAUCUGUUGGCAUCCACACCUGUGAACGUGACUUGUCAUGGUUUCAACUGAAAAGAUAGCGGCCCAGGCCUGCCUGGGGAUGCACUUUUUGGGUGAUGGUAAAUGUGCUUUUUGUGCGAGCAGAUAGCAGCCUUGCCCUCUGUGUGUGCAUACCUCAGACUUCUCUCUCCAGAGGACUGGAACUUGCGGGGCAUAUGAGAAGACCCAGGCUCUCAGAGCAGCAGCAGCUGUCCUGGGCUCUGAGCAGAGAUUAGCGAGGCUCAGGCUGCAUUCCACAGCCUCCACCCCCUGUACUUCUGGCAGGGCGCAGUCCUACCUUUCAAACACACACACACACUCAACUGCAGGUGAGGAACUGACAUUGCCCUGGGAGUUUCUGUCUUUGCAGAGGAAUAUUUUGAAAACAUCCACUCUUGCUUUCUCCACACUCCCAUCCAGUGUGCCUGGCUUCUUCUGCACAGUGCAUAUUCUGGCUCUUUGCCAGAGGCCUGGAAAAUCCUGCCAGGCAGCCGUUCACGCAGUUGCCCCCAGGGGCAGUGACUGACCAGGAGUGAGACACACCACUCUCAGCCCAGCUGUCUGCUCAGCGCAGCUCAAAGCACUUGUACCUUGAGGGAGAGAAACCCAAGCCACACGUCCUGACAGACUGUCACCUGAGUCCCUUGGAAAACACAAUCAAGAGCUUCCUGCCCACUCAUGUCCCGAGCUGGCCGGGCUCAGUAGAUGCUGUGCCGCCAGCUCCUGGCUUAGCCGGCCUCCCUGGUGCGUCUGCCCUCAACUCUUUGUGCAGCUGGAGUCCCAGAAGGGAGUAAUAAUUAAAGAAAACUUUGUAAAUGUUCAAACUGAAUAAAACUGUUGUUGUUGCUCA